GCGCGUAGCGCGUGCAGGAACUCUGCUCGAGUGGGCGGGGCUUCGUUCUGAUGUACUUCCCCGAUAUCAGAGCGGGCCCGCACUCGGGCAGGGCUCUGUACGCACUCAACUCACUG
Corynebacterium glucuronolyticum ATCC 51866 is the source of this 116-nucleotide non-coding RNA. The record is from Rfam. NCBI's taxonomy places the organism in Bacteria, Bacillati, Actinomycetota, Actinomycetes, Mycobacteriales, Corynebacteriaceae.